UUUUGUUUUCCCUAUCUUAAAACUUCACAGAAUGUUGUUCACUAUCCACACAUGGAUCUUUAAAAGCUUUACCUUGUGUGCUUUGAAGUGUACUCUAAAUAUUUAACACAAGAUUUUGGAAGGAAAUGUUUUCUUGGUAGCGAGACAUCUGCUUUUCUUCAUAUUGUAAGCAGAUGAUGAUGAAACAUGAGGGGAAGCUUGGUUUUAAAAUACACAGAAUUGCUGCAGAAGGGCUUACUUGUUCUUGUGAAAAUACACCCUUUUUUAAAAUUCACUGGCCAUUUAGGUUACACUGUUUUGUGUAGUUAUGUUAACCUGAAAUUGCUUCAGGUUCAGUUCAGUGCUAUAAGAUUCUGUGUAUAAACUGUAAAACAUAAGACUGAAAAUUUGUUGUUACGUGCAAGAGUAAAACAAGUUACAAAACUGAAAAAGAGAACUUGAAAAGAUGCUUAUCAGAAGCCAAAGAAAAUCACUGAAUAUUCCCAGACUUCUCUCCAUCAGUGCUACAAAUCCCAAUUAUAACUUCCUUCCUGAGCAAGAGCCUGUAACUAUGCUGUGUUAUACCUUCUACAAGCAAAAAGGAGCUUUAGACAGCACGGAAACCAGUACAGUGUUGGCAUAUUCAGGAGACAGUUACAAAAUUUGUACCAAUGCCGCUUCCUAUAUGGAAAAGAGAUCCUUCAAGAACUAA
This 691-nucleotide long non-coding RNA is filed under the name Anas platyrhynchos platyrhynchos (common mallard). RNAcentral's name for it is "lncRNA (ENSAPLG00000023313.1)". Lineage: Eukaryota; Metazoa; Chordata; Aves; Anseriformes; Anatidae. The record is from RNAcentral.